GGGGGCGACAGGUUUCGACAGCAUGAUGGAAGGUCCGGACGUGCGAGCCGAGAGCGGGGAACUCUCGUAAAUCAAUCUUCAAAACAAUAAUUGCCAACGAAGAUUUCGCACUGGCUGCUUAAUUAAGCAACCACGCUCCCCGGGGGCUCGGUCGUUGGAACCCGGAAGGGCGUCACAAAGACGGCUGGAAUCACGGCAGCGCCAUCUGGCCGCGGUUCGAGACUCUAGGGAUGGUUAGGAAGU
This 243-nucleotide transfer-messenger RNA is filed under the name Synergistaceae bacterium. Its description in RNAcentral is "partial transfer-messenger RNA". It matches the Rfam family "transfer-messenger RNA", at positions 1 to 262 of the family's 374-position model. Rfam says of the family: Bacterial tmRNA, also known as 10Sa RNA or SsrA, is named for its dual tRNA and mRNA-like properties. Its role is to liberate the mRNA from a stalled ribosome. To accomplish this part of the tmRNA is used as a reading frame that ends in a translation stop signal. Lineage: Bacteria; Thermotogati; Synergistota; Synergistia; Synergistales; Synergistaceae. The record is from RNAcentral.